RNAcentral lists this unclassified non-coding RNA (356 nucleotides) under uncultured Ascomycota. Its description in RNAcentral is "sequence contains ITS2". The stretch from base 1 to 154 matches the Rfam family "5.8S ribosomal RNA". The record is from RNAcentral. Lineage: Eukaryota; Fungi; Ascomycota.
AACUUUUAGCAAUGGAUCUCUUGGCUCCUGCAUCGAUGAAGAACGCAGCGAAACGCGAUAGGUAUUGUGAAUUGCAGAAUUCCGUAAAUCAUCGAAUCUUUGAACGCACAUUGCGCCCUUUGGUAUUCCGAGGGGCAUGCCUGUCUGAGCGUCAGUUUAACCUUCACACGACGGAUUGCCGUCGGAGUGCGCUGAGCCGUGGGAGAUUCUUCCCUCGCUCGAAAUAGAUGCAACAGUGGUGUAAUAGAUAAUAUUCGCCGCCUCAAGCAUUUGAGCCUUACACGGCUCAUUAACACUUUGACCUCAGAUCAGGUAGGGUUACCCGCUGAACUUAAGCAUAUCAAUAAGCGGAGGCU